GAAAACAUUAGAAGACUACAAAUCCUGAAACAUAAAAAGACUUGGUGCCUUGCAUUUCCUUCUUCUUCAAGAAGAGGUGGUUGGGUUGCGGGUGAGGCAAGACUGCUGUGAAGUUUUGUUUCAAGGUCUGAUCAUAGUCAACUCUUCCAAGCCAAAGUCAGGAAUGCCACUUCUGCCAUCUGCACAGUGCCACACACACAGAAGAAAUCCAGCCAGCAGAGGAAAGAUAUUGCCUAGCAAAAGCCAGAGGGUGACAACCAGGCUUGAGGAACAGGAGCAAAGAUCUAGAGUCAAAAACAAAAAACUGACUUAUUAUAGACAUUUUUGGUAUAUUAUACCAAUCAUAUAUUGACAGAUAAAUAGCAGUGAUUAUUAAAAGGUAAAUAGGGACCACUUUGAGAGCUAAAUCAAGAGCAAAACCCAGAUAUAAAAAAAGGUUUUGUUUCUUUUUUAAUGGAGGAAAAAUAUAUUUGGAGGAAGAAAUGAUGUAUCCACCAAGUCAAGGUUAAAAAACAGUAU
Saimiri boliviensis boliviensis (Bolivian squirrel monkey) is the source of this 519-nucleotide non-coding RNA. NCBI's taxonomy places the organism in Eukaryota, Metazoa, Chordata, Mammalia, Primates, Cebidae. The record is from RefSeq and is a predicted model, not a curated record.